Molecule: ribosomal RNA, 470 nt
Filed under: uncultured bacterium
Lineage: Bacteria
Description: partial 16S ribosomal RNA
Rfam family: Bacterial small subunit ribosomal RNA
Source: RNAcentral
GGUGAACGCUGGCGGCGUGCCUAAGACAUGCAAGUCGAGCGGGGCAGGUUUAUACCUGUUCAGCGGCGGACGGGUGAGUAACGCGUGGGUGACCUACCCGGAAGAGGCGGACAACCUGGGGAAACCCAGGCUAAUCCGCCAUGUGGUCCUGUCCUGUGGGGCAGGACUAAAGGGUGGAUAGCCCGCUUCCGGAUGGGCCCGCGUCCCAUCAGCUAGUUGGUGGGGUAAAGGCCCACCAAGGCGACGACGGGUAGCCGGUCUGAGAGGAUGGCCGGCCACAGGGGCACUGAGACACGGGCCCCACUCCCACGGGAGGCAGCAGUUAGGAAUCUUCCGCAAUGGACGGAAGUCUGACGGAGCGACGCCGCUUGGAGGAGGAAGCCCUGCGGGGUGUAAACUCCUGAACUGGGGACGAAAGCCCUGUGUAGGGGGAUGACGGUACCCAGGUAAUAGCGCCGGCCAACUCCGUG